GACGUAGGGACCGAGCGUUGUCCGGAUUCAUUGGGCGUAAAGCGCGCGCAGGCGGCUUCGCAAGUCGGGUGUGAAAAUCCGGGGCUCAACCCCGGACCUGCACCCGAAACUGCGAGGCUCGAGGCAGGUAGGGGAGAUCGGAAUUCCUGGUGUAGCGGUGAAAUGCGCAGAUAUCAGGAGGAACACCGGUGGCGAAGGCGGAUCUCUGGGCCUGUCCUGACGCUCAGGCGCGAAAGCUAGGGGAGCGAAC
This 250-nucleotide ribosomal RNA is filed under the name uncultured bacterium. Its description in RNAcentral is "partial 16S ribosomal RNA". It matches the Rfam family "Bacterial small subunit ribosomal RNA", at positions 524 to 773 of the family's 1533-position model. The record is from RNAcentral.